CCUACGGGUGGCAGCAGUGGGGAAUAUUGGGCAAUGGGCGCAAGCCUGACCCAGCAAUGCAGCGUGAAGGAAGAAGGCUUUCGGGUUGUAAACUUCUUUGACAGGGGAAGAGCAGAAGACGUUACCAUGAAAACAAGCCACGGCUAACUACGUGCCAGCAGCAGGGGUAAUACGUAGGUGGCAACCGUUGUCCGGCAUUACUGGGGGGAAAGGGCGGGUAUCCGGGUAGGCAAGUCAGUUGUGAAAUCUGGAGGCUCAACCUCCAAAUUGCAUUUGAAACUGUUUUUCUUGAGUACUGGAGAGGCAGGCGGAAUUCCAUGUGUAGCGGUGAAAUGCGUAGAUAUAAGGAAGAACACCAGUGGCGAAGGCGGUCUGCUGGACAGCAACUGACGGUGAGGCGCGAAAGCGUGGGGAGCAAACAGGAUUAGAUACCCCUGUAGUC
This 442-nucleotide ribosomal RNA is filed under the name uncultured bacterium. RNAcentral's name for it is "partial 16S ribosomal RNA". It matches the Rfam family "Bacterial small subunit ribosomal RNA", at positions 338 to 795 of the family's 1533-position model. The record is from RNAcentral.